RNAcentral lists this ribosomal RNA (189 nucleotides) under uncultured bacterium. RNAcentral's name for it is "partial 16S ribosomal RNA". It matches the Rfam family "Bacterial small subunit ribosomal RNA", at positions 337 to 526 of the family's 1533-position model. The record is from RNAcentral.
UCCUACGGGAGGCAGCAGUGGGGAAUAUUGCACAAUGGGCGGAAGCCUGAUGCAGCGACGCCGCGUGGGGGAUGACGGCCUUCGGGUUGUAAACCUCUUUCAGUAGGGAACAAGGCGCCAUGUUUGUGGUGUUGAGGGUACUUGCAGAAGAAGCGCCGGCUAACUACGUGCCAGCAGCCGCGGUAAUAG